Molecule: ribosomal RNA, 317 nt
Filed under: uncultured bacterium
Lineage: Bacteria
Description: bacterial SSU rRNA
Rfam family: Bacterial small subunit ribosomal RNA
Source: RNAcentral
AACGAACGCUGGCGGCAGGCCUAACACAUGCAAGUCGAGCGAACCCUUCGGGGUUAGCGGCGGACGGGUUAGUAACGCGUGGGAAUAUACCCUUUGGUACGGAAUAGCCUCGGGAAACUGAGAGUAAUACCGUAUGUGCCCUUCGGGGAAAGGAUUUAUCGCCAAAGGAUUAGCCCGCGUUGGAUUAGAUAGUUGGUGGGGUAAGUGGCCUACCAAGUCUACGAUCCAUAGCUGGUUUGAGAGGAUGAUCAGCAACACUGGGACUGAGACACGGCCCAGACUCCUACGGGAGGCAGCAGUGGGGAAUCUUAGACAAU